Molecule: ribosomal RNA, 253 nt
Filed under: uncultured bacterium
Lineage: Bacteria
Description: partial 16S ribosomal RNA
Rfam family: Bacterial small subunit ribosomal RNA
Source: RNAcentral
UACGGAGGGUGCAAGCGUUAUCCGGAUUUACUGGGUUUAAAGGGUGCGUAGGCGGGCCCUUAAGUCAGUGGUGAAAGCUCCGAGCUUAACUCGGAAACUGCCAUUGAUACUAUUGGUCUUGAAUUCGGUCGAGGUUGGCGGAAUGUGUCGUGUAGCGGUGAAAUGCUUAGAUAUGACACAGAACACCGAUUGCGAAGGCAGCUAGCUAGACCGACAUUGACGCUGAGGCACGAAAGCGUGGGGAGCAAACAGG